AAUGGUCACUACACGGACUAUGCGGGCAGCUUCCCCGGGGAAACCAGAGUUUUUGGACUCCGGGGGAAGUAUGGUUGCAAAGCUGAAACUUAAAGGAAUUGACGGAAGGGCACCACCAGGAGUGGAGCUUGCGGCUUAAUUUGACUCAACACGGGACAACUCACCAGGCCCGGACACCGUAAGGAUUGACAGACUGAUAGCUCUCUCUUGAUUCAGUGGGUGGUGGUGCAUGGCCGUUCUUAGUUGGUGGAGUGAUUUGUCUGGUUUAUUCCGAUAACGAACGAGACUCUGGCCUAUUAAACUUGAC
RNAcentral lists this ribosomal RNA (307 nucleotides) under Yamaguchiella coerulescens. Its description in RNAcentral is "SSU rRNA". It matches the Rfam family "Eukaryotic small subunit ribosomal RNA", at positions 1058 to 1360 of the family's 1831-position model. Lineage: Eukaryota; Metazoa; Arthropoda; Thecostraca; Balanomorpha; Tetraclitidae. The record is from RNAcentral.